AGAGUUUGAUCCUGGCUCAGAAUGAACGUUGGCGGCGUGGAUUAGGCAUGCAAGUCGCGCGACAAGGUUUCUUUAGCUUGCUAUUGAAACUAGAGGAGCGGCGAAAGGGAGAGUAACGCGUGGAUACCUGCCCUUGGCUCCGGGAUAGCGUCGGGAAACUGGCGGUAAUACCGGAUAAUAUCCCCGGAUCAAAGGUGUGAUUCCGGCCGAGGAUGGGUCCGCGUCCUAUUAGGUUGUUGGUGAGGUAAUGGCUCACCAAGCCAAAGAUGGGUACCGGGUGUGAGAGCAUGGCCCGGCUCACUGGGACUGAGACACUGCCCAGACACCUACGGGUGGCUGCAGUCGAGAAUCUUCCGCAAUGGGCGCAAGCCUGACGGAGCGACGCCGCGUGCGGGAUGAAGGCCUUCGGGUUGUAAACCGCUGUCAGUAGGGAGCAAAUGCAUCAGGGCAAUCUCUGGUGUUUGAGCGAUCUGCAGAGGAAGUCCGGGCUAAGUACGUGCCAGCAGCCGCGGUAACACGUACCGGACGAACGUUAUUCGGAAUCACUGGGCUUAAAGAGUCCGUAGGCGGCUCGGUAGGUGAGGUGUGAAAUCCCACGGCUCAACCGUGGAACUGCGCUUCAAACCACCGGGCUUGAGGGAGAUAGAGGUGAGCGGAACUGAUGGUGGAGCGGUGAAAUGCGUUGAUAUCAUCAGGAAC
Molecule: ribosomal RNA, 699 nt
Filed under: uncultured bacterium
Lineage: Bacteria
Description: bacterial SSU rRNA
Rfam family: Bacterial small subunit ribosomal RNA
Source: RNAcentral